UGCAGCUGUGGGAAUUUUAACUCCUGUAAUUUUUUUUUUUUUCCUUCUGACAGGUUUUAUUUUAAAGCAGAAAAACAUCAUUUCAUAAAACUUCAUUUAAGUCCCCUGCUCCAAACCUUCAUGACUCUCAUUUUUCACAGAAAGGGAGAAUAAUGGGAUUGGAGUCAGCCCAUCUGUAUAAACUAUUUACCCAGAACUCCUGAUGGGGUAAAACCACAGAGAAGUGCUCUCUGCUCUUUGUUAUUGGCACACAGAGAAAGCCAGCCCUCAGAAAGCUUCAGCUGCAUCAACUUUCAUCUCAGCACUUCCCUACUGAUGCUUUUGAGCCAUCAGAACAGGAAGAACCAGAAGGACUCCAAACAAAGUGAAGGUUCUUCCAGAAGCUGAAGAGCAUGAGAGGAAUUUUGGGUUAGCUCCAAGAGAGCCUCUUUUGUCACAGAACCAAGCAGAGCUGAAACAAUCAUCGCUGGCUGAACUCAAGGACGGGGUUGGGCAGUGUUCCCAAGAGGCUGAAGCCUCUCUGCAAGCCCUCUUGGAAGGUGCUGCACAACGAAAACCAUGCACCAAGCAGAGAGGUGGUAGCUAAAAGCAUACAUGCCUCCUGCAGGCUCUUUUUGAAAGAACCAGGAAGACUGUCUACAGUUUUCUCUCAUUUAAGACAAAUGCAGUCCUGAUGGCUGUGGCCUGAAGGGAAGAGCUGCCUUCCUGCCAGAAGAGGAGCAGAACUGUUAAUAUCUGGCAACAGGAGAGAGGCAAAGGGAUGGCUCUGAGACACAGUUUGCUGCUGGUGUACAAGGUUAACUGCUGUGAAUGUUCCAAACUGCAUAUCCACAUCCUGCUCCCUGUGAGAAGCAGAGAAAUGCCACACAUUUUCAGUUGUCAUCUGAGAGGGAUCCUACACACUGGCUCUGGAGGUAAACUGCCUUUGGUCAGAACAGCUUGGGUCUGGACUCAAAUGGAUGCUUUACAGAGCAGAGGUAUCCAAAGACAGGUUUGUUGGUUUGACUCAUCUUUCAUUCAGCUCAUUGUGCUGUUCCAAAAGACUGCUGAUAAAUGGAAAUAUGCUUUUAAGUCUUAUAUAAUUUGUAUACUUAUAUGAUUUAUGGGUGAUCUAAAGCUCAAAACUGCCAGUGGAGCUACAGAAAUGCUUGAGAGGAACAGGCCUCCUUGUCACCAGAGGCAACCUAUACAAGAUUUGCACUCUGGUGCUAAAAGUAUGUCUAUUUCUGCAAAUAUUUUACUGAAACAAGCAACUUCAUAUACAUAAGUAGUCAACUUCAAACAAGAACACUAAUUGUACUGAUGAGGCUCAGCAGGACUGAAACAAGAAUUAUGAAAAGACUUUUCUUCCUGUUCUAUCAAAAAUGGUUUAAUUUCUUACAAUGGGUUGAAAAUUAAAAAGAAUGAAGGAAGGAGUUGUACAUAACUUCAGGGUAAUGUUUGUGCAACUGAGAAAUGCUGGUUGAUGUCAAAGCAUUUCUGUGUUACUAAAUAUCACAGCAUAGGUGUAACCUGCCGCAGGAAAAUGUUUGAAGAGAAAGAUUGAUAGCAGGAAAGGCACAAUGGACCGAUUGAGUACUGUGAGGGAAGGGCAUUUAUGACUUACCAGGAAGGAUUUACUUUUAACUUAGGCUAGAUUUUGAUGAAUAUUUCCUUUGAUGGAAAGUGCUGGAUAAAUCAACUUUGUAAGGAGGAAAAGAAGCUGGUUUUGAUCUUAGUUAUUUCUCCAGCCUAGCUCACUGUGUGACAGCGCAAGUUAAAAUGCAUAACAAAAAGCAGUGGCAAGAAGGGCAGGUGAAAGUGAAGUUAGGGCUUAUCAAAGUGUGUCUGAGCUGGCCCCCCAUGGAGGAAAGCCUCUUUAGAGAGACAUGUACCAACAGAGGCAUAGGCAGGCAGAAUGGGUGCAUUGAGAGCCCUUUGAGCAAACCCAGACCGUGCUUGGUAGGAGGGAGAGGCAGGGAGGAAACCUAAACAGAGAAAUAAAUGCUUAAUGAAGUUUCUGCUGUUAGCA
RNAcentral lists this long non-coding RNA (2011 nucleotides) under Zonotrichia albicollis (white-throated sparrow). Its description in RNAcentral is "lncRNA (ENSZALG00000017740.1)". Lineage: Eukaryota; Metazoa; Chordata; Aves; Passeriformes; Passerellidae. The record is from RNAcentral.